This 477-nucleotide ribosomal RNA is filed under the name uncultured organism. RNAcentral describes it as "partial 16S ribosomal RNA". It matches the Rfam family "Bacterial small subunit ribosomal RNA", at positions 331 to 799 of the family's 1533-position model. The record is from RNAcentral.
GUACACUCCUGCGGGAGGCAGCAGUGGGGAAUAUUGCACAAUGGGCGCAAGCCUGAUGCAGCCAUGCCGCGUGUAUGAAGAAGGCCUUCGGGUUGUAAAGUACUUUCAGCGGGGAGGAAGGUGUUGAGGUUAAUAACCUCAGCAAUUGACGUUACCCGCAGAAGAAGCACCGGCUAACUCCGUGCCAGCAGCCGCGGUAAUACGGAGGGUGCAAGCGUUAAUCGGAAUUACUGGGCGUAAAGCGCACGCAGGCGGUCUGUCAAGUCGGAUGUGAAAUCCCCGGGCUCAACCUGGGAACUGCAUUCGAAACUGGCAGGCUAGAGUCUUGUAGAGGGGGGUAGAAUUCCAGGUGUAGCGGUGAAAUGCGUAGAGAUCUGGAGGAAUACCGGUGGCGAAGGCGGCCCCCUGGACAAAGACUGACGCUCAGGUGCGAAAGCGUGGGGAGCAAACAGGAUUAGAUACCCCGGUAGUCCCAUG